CGGACCCCGUGAGGUCGGGGGAGGGACAGCGGGUCCCCUGCUUGCCCUGACUGGUCGCCUUCGGGAUCCCUUUGCGCUGCCUCCCCCGCCGCCGCGGUCUCCCUGGUGGGGACCUCCUGCCCCUCCUGGGACUGAACUCCAAAGUUGGGUGCUGCCUUGGAGGAAUGUGUCGAACUCGGGCUCCUCACGGGCACUUUUCGACCAGUUUCAGAAUCGGAGGAAUGUCGGAUUGCACACCCUGUUGUGAAGUGCACCUACUGCAGGACUGAGUACCAGCAGGAGAGGCUAGAGUGCAAUGGCACGAUCUCGGCUCACUGCAACCUCCACCUCCCAGGUUCAAGCGAUUCUCCUGCCUCAUCCUCCCGAGUAGCUGGGAUUACAG
RNAcentral lists this long non-coding RNA (382 nucleotides) under Homo sapiens (human). RNAcentral describes it as "HSALNT0291006". Lineage: Eukaryota; Metazoa; Chordata; Mammalia; Primates; Hominidae. The record is from RNAcentral.